RNAcentral lists this ribosomal RNA (418 nucleotides) under uncultured bacterium. RNAcentral's name for it is "bacterial SSU rRNA". It matches the Rfam family "Bacterial small subunit ribosomal RNA", at positions 356 to 774 of the family's 1533-position model. The record is from RNAcentral.
GGGGAAUAUUGGACAAUGGACGAAAGUCUGAUCCAGCGACGCCGCGUGGAGGAAGAAGUCCUUCGGGAUGUAAACUCAUGAAGCUAACGAAUAAGACGGAAGGGGAACCUUCCGGGAGAAGGUAAUUAGUGAAAAGCCCCGGCUAACUACGUGCCAGCAGCCGCGGUAAUACGUAGGGGGCUAGCGUUAUCCGGAUUUACUGGGGUAAAGGGUGCGUAGGUGGUUUCUUAAGUCAGGAGUGAAAGGCUACGGCUCAACCGUAGUAAGCUCUUGAAACUGGGAAACUUGAGUGCAGGAGAGGAAAGUGGAGUUCUUAGUGUAGCGGUGAAAUGAGUAGAUAUUAGGAGGAAGACCAGUAGAGAAGGCGGCUUUCGGGACUGGAACUGACACUGAGGCACGAAAGCGUGGGGAGCAAACA